Small nucleolar RNA from Ornithorhynchus anatinus (platypus), 138 nucleotides. Lineage: Eukaryota; Metazoa; Chordata; Mammalia; Monotremata; Ornithorhynchidae. The record is from RefSeq and is a predicted model, not a curated record.
UCCCUCUCAGGGUCACACCUGGAGAAUUUCCAGGACUCUACUAGUCUCGACUAGGGGAGGGAGAGUCAAGCAAAGGCACACCCAUUCCAUUCCUAGCUCAGCCAGGGGCUAGUGAGUGGAAGGCACUCUGUUACAAGU